Molecule: transfer RNA, 85 nt
Filed under: Nocardia transvalensis
Lineage: Bacteria; Bacillati; Actinomycetota; Actinomycetes; Mycobacteriales; Nocardiaceae
Also listed under: 3 other names
Description: tRNA-Leu
Rfam family: tRNA
About the family: Transfer RNA (tRNA) molecules are approximately 80 nucleotides in length. Their secondary structure includes four short double-helical elements and three loops (D, anti-codon, and T loops).
Source: RNAcentral
GUCCGGGUGGCGGAAUGGCAGACGCGCUAGCUUGAGGUGCUAGUGCCCGAUUAAGGGCGUGGGGGUUCAAGUCCCCCUCCGGACA